GGCCCGGUGGCUCAGAUGGUUAGAGCGCCGCCCUGUCACGGCGGAGGUCGUCGGUUCGAUUCCGAUCCGGGUCG
Oribacterium sp. oral taxon 078 is the source of this 74-nucleotide non-coding RNA. The record is from Rfam. Lineage: Bacteria; Bacillati; Bacillota; Clostridia; Lachnospirales; Lachnospiraceae.